Molecule: ribosomal RNA, 448 nt
Filed under: uncultured bacterium
Lineage: Bacteria
Description: partial 16S ribosomal RNA
Rfam family: Bacterial small subunit ribosomal RNA
Source: RNAcentral
GUCCAGACUCCUACGGGAGGCAGCAGUGGGGGAUAUUGCACAAUGGGGGGAACCCUGAUGCAGCGACGCCGCGUGGGUGAAGAAGCGCCUCGGCGCGUAAAGCCCUGUCAGCAGGGAAGAAAAUGACGGUACCUGACUAAGAAGCCCCGGCUAACUACGUGCCAGCAGCCGCGGUAAUACGUAGGGGGCAAGCGUUAUCCGGAUUUACUGGGUGUAAAGGGAGCGUAGGCGGCAAUGCAAGCCAGAUGUGAAAGCCCGGGGCGCAACCCCGGGACUGCAUUUGGAACUGUGUAGCUGGAGUGUCGGAGAGGCAGGCGGAAUUCCUAGUGUAGCGGUGAAAUGCGUAGAUAUUAGGAGGAACACCAGUGGCGAAGGCGGCCUGCUGGGCUUUAACUAACGCUGAGGCUCGAAAGCGUGGGGAGCAAACAGGAUUAGAUACCCGUGUAAU